Molecule: long non-coding RNA, 2063 nt
Organism: Amphiprion ocellaris (clown anemonefish)
Lineage: Eukaryota; Metazoa; Chordata; Actinopteri; Pomacentridae
Source: Ensembl
GUUUCUGUGAGGAAGAACCAACAGGUCUCACUAGAGCACUAAAAUAUUAUCUGUGUUUCUGCAACACUGACAUCAAGAAUCAAGAGUGGAUGAAGAGUUUAACUGUAUCUGUUCUCUAAGAAACACCUUCUAAAGAAUAUAGCUGAGGAAGAAGCUGCUACGCUCCACCUACAUAAAGAACCACAUAUGAGGAGGAGACAUUAAUCAGACAGUUGAUGCUACGUUUGUCUUUCAGAGGAACUUAGACAGAGACUUUGAGAGUUUACAGCCUGAGAACAAGACAUAGAAAACAAGAGAAGGAAACACAAUGGUUGAAUUUAAAUCAUUUCAGAUGUUUUUGAUCCUGAUGAUUCCAUUUGCAGCAGCAGUGACUCAACAUUAUUCCAAGAUCAUUGUCAGAGCUGGAGAUGAAGCUACUUUAUCUUGUGAAGAUGUGAAAGAUCUCCCUGAUAAAUGUCACAGUACUACAUGGAUCUUCAACUACUUAACAACUGGACCAACAGUAACACUGUUUGAAUAUGGACAGAUUCAGAGAGAAGCUGCAGCUAAAUCGUACAGACUGAGUGUUACGGAGAAAUGUUCUCUGGUUAUAGAGAAGGUCACAGAUGAGGAUGUUGGUCGCUACACCUGCAGACAGUUUGAUGAAGGACAAACAGUUACAGACUCUCAGGUUGAUCUGACUGUUAUUAAAAGAGACAACGUAGCAACAACAACAACAACUAAAUUACCAACAACAACAACCAAAAGAACAACUAAAGCAACAACCAGACCAACAACAAUCAAAGCAACAACUAAAGCAACCAAAGCAACAACCAGACCAACAACUAAAGCAACCAAAGCAACAACCAGACCAACAACAACUAAAGCAACCAAAGCAACCUCCAGACCACCAACAACUAAAGUAACCAAAGCAACCUCCAGACCAACAACAACAACAGACCCAGCAGCAGGAGAAACAAGCCUAAAUGCAGAUCUCCUGAAGGUGCUGAUCCCUGUAGCUGUUGUUUCAGCAGCACUCUUGAUCAUCAUUGUGGCAGUCAUCAGAUGGAAGGGAGCUAAAGGGAACAACACCCAGUUGGACGACAACACUGCUGAUCCUCCAGAUGGUGUUUCCUACGCCUCCAUCCGCUACAAGAAGAAGACCAAGAGUAAAGUCCGGGUUCAGGGUGAAGAUGAUAUGGUGACCUACAGCACUCUCAACACUUCCACUGGGAUCAGCCUCCACUGAUCCCAGGAAGCUCUACACCUCCAUCAACAAGACCAACACAUGAGAGGCCACAGUGUAGCUACAUCUCUCUCUCUUCAAGUUUCUGAUUACUUCUGGUUAGAAGUGAGCUGGUGUAUAUUUAGCUCUCCAUGUCACAUGGUUCAUUGACUCUGCUCUUGAUGUAAACAUUCCAGAUUGGACACAUCUUUAUUUUUGUAUCCCUGAUCUUGUUGUUAACCCGUUCCCUUCCAGUUGAGGUUUAUUUGUGGGAGGGUUUUCUUUGCAUCUCAAAACGUAUUUAAAAAAAAGUUGUAAUUUAUCUUGAUAAUGUGUUAUUGGUAUUCUGGCAUACAGUGGGCUUACCAACACUGAGCUUCUUACUAUGAUACUGCUGUAAAUUUUAAAUACAAUAUAACAAUGUUUAGUCCUCAUUUUUUGAUUAAUUGUAUGAAUACUUUAUUAACUGCUGUAAAACCUUGUUGUCCAAAAGGUGGUGAAGUAGAUUCAGGGUGUCAGACUCUCAAAAGUAGAGUCAUGUGGCUGAUUGCUGUAUGGAAAACAUAUUAUUAUUGUAUAUAUUAUUACAGUGCAUUUUCCAAAAUAAACUUACUUUCAGUAGUUUAACUCUUCUAAAUUUUUUUCUUCUUCUUAUAAUUAUACUCUUUUUAAAUGUAUAUCUGUUAUUGUUUAACAUGUAAUAAGUUGAGGAUGAGGUAGAAAGUGUAAAAACACAGAUGUGACAUGACUUCUUAGUUGGUUAUCACCCUUAAGAGUCAUUUAUUCAACAGCAGGAAAGGGGUUGAUGAUUUGUUGUACAGUUUGAGGAGAAAUCAGGUAGUUUUCAUGCUUAAUUCAG